ACACGGUGUUUACCCGCUUGCUUAUACCGUCCAAAUUCACGGUAUAACUUAGUCGGGCUCGCUCUCGCUUGCGCACUCUUCCUCUCCAGGUGCUCUCUCUUCCUCUCAUCCCAGGUUCGUCUUCUCAACUUCUUCUUCUUUGUUUGAAUCACAGUUCGUCUUUUUAGUUUUCUUCUUCUGGGAUUCCGCCCCUCCCUCUAUUCUUCCCCCUCCUCCUAUUUUUCUUGCAAUUUUCUUUCAAUUGAUUGAACCUAGUUAUUAUUUUCUCUCUAAUUAUGCAAUUGAUUAUGUAAUUUUGUGUUUUAAUUAGAAUUUUUGAAUUUUAGGGUUUGCUAUUGCGGUCAAAUUUAGGGUUUAUUGUUGGUGUUGAAUUUUAAUUAGAAUUUUAAUGAUUGGGUAGAGUGGGAGUGUGCAAGUUCACUUACCUAAAUAAAACUUUGUCUCUGGCGCAACUCCUGUUUCACUCAUUGUCUCGCAGCCGCAACGCAACCAUACGGACAAUUGGAUAUGGAUGAAAGAAAGAUUUUGGCAUGCUUCUUGUUAACUUGUGGUACUUGAAUAUUGUGACUUGGUUGAUGAUGUGGUUCAUGAUGAAUCAUAAUUCAGCUAGAAGGCGGAAUCAGCAACUUGCACUUAGAAAUUGCACAUUUGUUAGGAGAAUGGUACAUUAAUGAAGAUGAAGAUGAAUGUGGUUCAUGAUGAUGUGGUUCUAGAAGGCGGAAUCGUACAUUUGUUAGGAAAUGAUGUGGUUCAUGAUGAUGAAUGAGCCUGAGCACAUUAAUGAAGAUGAAGAUGAAGAUGAGGGCGGAGACUAGUUCUCCCUUUUGUUGCUUGACGGUCCAGUAGUUCAAGUACCCAGAAAAGGAAGAGAGCUGCUAAUGAUAAUGAUCUUGCUGUGGCAUUUAAAGAAAUGCUUUCUGAAUCAGUUGAUAAGUUGGGUGAAGUUUUACAAGUUGCUUUUGGGAAAGGAGUGGAUCAAAAUCUUGAGAUUGUUUCAGAAUUGUCAAAGAUGAAUUUGUCUAUUGAGGAUCAAAUCAAGGCACUAAAUAUCCUUUUCAAAAAGCCACAAAAUGAGAGGACAUUCUUGUCUUUGGAUGGUGCAAUGAAAAACGCCUUUGUACUCAUGUUACUUGGACAAAGUAACCGCAAUUGACAUUUCAAACCAACAACAAUAUAUUUUGUUAAAAGCUGUAGCAUGCAUAUAUUUUGUUAAAAGUAGCAUGCAUAUAUUUUGGCUA
Pyrus x bretschneideri (Chinese white pear) is the source of this 1238-nucleotide long non-coding RNA. RefSeq lists it as uncharacterized. The transcript has 2 exons. Lineage: Eukaryota; Viridiplantae; Streptophyta; Magnoliopsida; Rosales; Rosaceae. The record is from RefSeq and is a predicted model, not a curated record.